GCGGAAUGCUUUACACAUGCAAGUCGAACGGCAGCACGGACUUCGGUCUGGUGGCGAGUGGCGAACGGGUGAGUAACGCGUGGGAACAUACCCUUUGGUACGGAAUAGCCUCGGGAAACUGGGAGUAAUACCGUAUGUGGUCGAGAGACGAAAGAUUUAUCGCCAAAGGAUUGGCCCGCGUUGGAUUAGGUAGUUGGUGGGGUAAUGGCCUACCAAGCCGACGAUCCAUAGCUGGUUUGAGAGGAUGAUCAGCCACACUGGGACUGAGACACGGCCCAGACUCCUACGGGAGGCAGCAGUGGGGAAUCUUAGACAAUGGGGGAAACCCUGAUCUAGCCAUGCCGCGUGAUCGAUGAAGGCCUUAGGGUUGUAAAGAUCUUUCAGGUGGGAAGAUAAUGACUGUACCACCAGAAGAAGCCCCGGCUAACUCCGUGCCAGCCGCCGCGGUAA
RNAcentral lists this ribosomal RNA (450 nucleotides) under uncultured bacterium. Its description in RNAcentral is "partial 16S ribosomal RNA". It matches the Rfam family "Bacterial small subunit ribosomal RNA", at positions 39 to 523 of the family's 1533-position model. The record is from RNAcentral.